Molecule: non-coding RNA, 184 nt
Filed under: Candidatus Rokuibacteriota bacterium
Lineage: Bacteria; Candidatus Rokuibacteriota
Description: Candidatus Rokubacteria bacterium 6S RNA
Rfam family: 6S / SsrS RNA
About the family: E. coli 6S RNA was the first non coding RNA to be sequenced, but its function was unknown until recently.
Source: RNAcentral
ACCGACCUGCGCUGCUCGUGAUGCCGGGGGAAGGUUUCAACCUCGCACACAAAAAGGGAGCCUGGACAGAGGGCGGUGAGCAAGCCUCUCGAUGAAGGGGACGCCUGAAGCCCUCGACAUAGAGGUUCCCACCUGGCCACGCCAGGUUCGAAACACCGCCGGCACACGGCAGGGCGGGCAGUUC